GGGUUGUGAGGUUAAGCGACUAAGCGUACACGGUGGAUGCCCUGGCAGUCAGAGGCGAUGAAGGACGUGCUAAUCUGCGAUAAGCGCCGGUAAGGUGAUAUGAACCGUUAUAACCGGCGAUUUCCGAAUGGGGAAACCCAGUGUGACUCGUCACACUAUCAUUAACUGAAUCCAUAGGUUAAUGAGGCGAACCGGGGGAACUGAAACAUCUAAGUACCCCGAGGAAAAGAAAUCAACCGAGAUUCCCCCAGUAGCGGCGAGCGAACGGGGAUGAGCCCAGAGCCUGAAUCAGCAUGUGUGUUAGUGGAAGCGUCUGGAAAGGCGCGCGAUACAGGGUGACAGCCCCGUACACAAAAGCGCAUAUGCUGUGAGCUCGAUGAGUAGGGCGGGACACGUGGUAUCCUGUCUGAAUAUGGGGGGACCAUCCUCCAAGGCUAAAUACUCCUGACUGACCGAUAGUGAACCAGUACCGUGAGGGAAAGGCGAAAAGAACCCCGGCGAGGGGAGUGAAAAAGAACCUGAAACCGUGUACGUACAAGCAGUGGGAGCCCCACCACUAAGCCAGUGGUGAACUCCACAUACGCAUCCUUUGCUGAGGAUGCGGUUAACGGAGCGAAAGCGACGUUCAACCGCAAAAGAAGCAGAGGGGGCUUAGUGGUGGGGUGACUGCGUACCUUUUGUAUAAUGGGUCAGCGACUUAUAUUCUGUAGCAAGGUUAACCGAAUAGGGGAGCCGGAGGGAAACCGAGUCUUAAUUGGGCGUUAAGUUGCAGGGUAUAGACCCGAAACCCGGUGAUCUAGCCAUGGGCAGGUUGAAGGUUGGGUAACACUAACUGGAGGACCGAACCGACUAAUGUUGAAAAAUUAGCGGAUGACCUGUGGCUGGGGGUGAAAGGCCAAUCAAACCGGGAGAUAGCUGGUUCUCCCCGAAAGCUAUUUAGGUAGCGCCU
This 949-nucleotide ribosomal RNA is filed under the name Salmonella enterica. Its description in RNAcentral is "partial 23S ribosomal RNA". It matches the Rfam family "Bacterial large subunit ribosomal RNA", at positions 1 to 882 of the family's 2925-position model. The record is from RNAcentral. Lineage: Bacteria; Pseudomonadati; Pseudomonadota; Gammaproteobacteria; Enterobacterales; Enterobacteriaceae.